RNAcentral lists this ribosomal RNA (505 nucleotides) under uncultured bacterium. RNAcentral's name for it is "partial 16S ribosomal RNA". It matches the Rfam family "Bacterial small subunit ribosomal RNA", at positions 28 to 507 of the family's 1533-position model. The record is from RNAcentral.
GACGAACGCUGGCGGCGUGCCUAAUACAUGCAAGUAGAACGCACAGUUUAUACCGUAGCUUGCUACACCAUAGACUGUGAGUUGCGAACGGGCGAGUAACGCGUAGGUAACCUGCCUGGUAGCGGGGGAUAACUAUUGGAAACGAUAGCUAAUACCGCAUAAUAUUAAUUAUUGCAUGUUAAUUAAUUGAAAGGUGCAAUUGCACCACUACCAGAUGGACCUGCGUUGUAUUAGCUAGUAGGUGAGGUAACGGCUCACCUAGGCGACGAUACAUAGCCGACCUGAGAGGGUGAUCGGCCACACUGGGACUGAGACACGGCCCAGACUCCUACGGGAGGCAGCAGUAGGGAAUCUUCGGCAAUGGACGAAAGUCUGAACGAGCAACGCCGCGUGAGGGAAGAAGGUUUUCGGAUCGUAAAGCUCUGUUGUAAGAGAAGAACGGGUGUGAGAGUGGAAAGUUCACACUGUGACGGUAUCUUACCAGAAAGGGACGGCUAACUACGUG